Molecule: ribosomal RNA, 253 nt
Filed under: uncultured bacterium
Lineage: Bacteria
Description: partial 16S ribosomal RNA
Rfam family: Bacterial small subunit ribosomal RNA
Source: RNAcentral
UACAGAGGUCCCGAGCGUUGUUCGGAUUCACUGGGCGUAAAGGGUGCGUAGGUGGUGAGGUAAGUCGGAUGUGAAAUCUCCGGGCUCAACCCGGAAACUGCAUUGGAAACUACCUUGCUUGAGGAUUUGAGGGGGGAUUGGAAUACUUGGUGUAGCAGUGAAAUGCGUAGAUAUCAAGUGGAACACCAGUGGCGAAGGCAGCACUCUGGGACGUGACUGACGCUGAGACGCGAAAGCGUGGGGAGCAAACAGG